This 309-nucleotide small nuclear RNA is filed under the name Oryctolagus cuniculus (rabbit). Its description in RNAcentral is "7SK RNA". It matches the Rfam family "7SK RNA". From Rfam's summary of the family: 7SK was discovered as an abundant small nuclear RNA in the mid-70s but a possible function has only recently been suggested. Two independent studies have found that 7SK RNA binds the CDK9/cyclin T complex (known as elongation factor P-TEFb). P-TEFb activates transcription by phosphorylating the C-terminal domain of RNA polymerase II. Lineage: Eukaryota; Metazoa; Chordata; Mammalia; Lagomorpha; Leporidae. The record is from Rfam by way of RNAcentral.
GGAUGUGAGGGUGAUCUGGCAGCGACAUCUGUCACCCCAUGGAUCGCCAGGGUUGAUUCGGCUGAUCUGGCUGGCUAGGUGGGUGUCCCCUUCCCCCCUCACCACUCCAUGUGUGUCCCUCCCAAAGCUGCAUGCUCGGUUGAAGAGGACGACCUUCCCUGCGCGAGGAGGAGCGGUCUUCAGUCAAGGGUAUAGGAGUAGCUGUGCUCCCCUGCUAGAACCUCCAAAUAAGCUCUCAAGUUUACCUAUUCAAUCUAGUGUACAGGGAAAUACAAAUGAUAAAACUCUAGUGAAACUGGAAAAUAAUUU